RNAcentral lists this ribosomal RNA (216 nucleotides) under Triticum aestivum (bread wheat). RNAcentral describes it as "partial small subunit ribosomal RNA". Lineage: Eukaryota; Viridiplantae; Streptophyta; Magnoliopsida; Poales; Poaceae. The record is from RNAcentral.
AUGGUACUCUCCCGUGCUCUCCGCCAUAUCAUCCGGGGCAUCAUGCGUGGGUGGCUCAAGAUCAAGCCAUCCUAUCUGCUAUCCAGUCCUCUCUCACGGAGGGAGUCUCGUCGUUGGUCAUCUUUGCCGCUACAUCUCGGGACGCAUGGACGGCUCUUCAUACCAGUUUUGCUUCGCAGUCCCAGGCGCGUGCUCAUGCUAUUCGCACUGCGCUAG